CAGAUAUUUAAUCUUCUGGUUGUUUUCUACUGACUUCCUGGGGCAAAGUCAAUUGCUCCAUCCUGUCGGCUAUCACGGAAGCGGUGGCUUUGUCUUCACAUUUUGUGUAGCCAUACUGUUAAAGCCUGCUGGAUUUUCAGGGGCCACUGCUGAUCCUCAAGCUCUGAAUGUCAGCCAAUUAGUGGAGAAGUUUUCCAUGGCUGCUGCCCUAACCAGGCUUCCUGUCUGACAGCCCCAUUCUCAGCCUCAACCAGGGAGUUGAUUAACUGUGGGAUGAGGAACUUGCAGAUACUGAGGGCCAACUGUUUUAUAUCUGCUAUAUGGACAUGAGAAAG
Molecule: long non-coding RNA, 335 nt
Organism: Homo sapiens (human)
Lineage: Eukaryota; Metazoa; Chordata; Mammalia; Primates; Hominidae
Exons: 4
Source: RefSeq, a predicted model, not a curated record